UUUGCUAAAGAAAGAAAAACACAUAUAAACUAAGAUUAUGAAAUCGUAUCAUUUACAUUUGUCUGGAUAAAAAACAAAAACAAAAAACAUGAUUACAAAGCUUUCCUGAAGUCCAGUCAUUCACAAUUCCAGAAAAACUAACUUUUGGUAACUUUUUUUGGUUUUGGUAGAAAUUAAUAUUGCAAACCAAUGUCUUAUGUGGUGCAAUCUCUAAAUAAAACUGAGCAUAACCAACACCCCCCCUCCCCGCUCACCCAAUUGUGAGUUACCUCUCCUUCACUGGUCAGCAUCACCACUUCUAUAGUAAGAAUAGUUUUUUGUGUGGAAAAAUCCUUUUUGUCUCAAUAUUCAAAUAUGAUAGCUCAGAACCUUCCAAAACUAGCAGCAGUGGCCCACUGGAAACCUACAAAUAUCCUCUUUCACAGUUGUACAAAACUCCUGUUUCUACGCCUACAUAGUUGUGAAAUACUGGACUUUAAUUUGUCACCAGACUAGGAAUGAGUAUUGCUCAACCUGAACCUCUUACCAGUGACAUUCUUUUAAUGGAGUAAGUGGGAGUGCCAUCUUGUUCAGGACACCCAAAACUGAGCCACUGCGUUACUCUUCUGUCUUAGCAAGAGGAGACACACUUUAAACCACAAUAUCACCCCAGCUCCUGGAGUCAAGUGGAUGUGUGAUAAUUUCAGCCUUCAUUCUUAAAGAAAAAAUGAUCUUUUUUCAUUUAAAGAGGAUGGAGGAAGUGUGAGCAAAACCCAUUCACUCAUUUUGAAUUAUUCAAAGCUAUUCGCAGAUGAUUCCAACGGACUUCAAUGGGAGUUGUGUGGAAAAAGGUAGGACAAAACUAGGUCAUAAAGAGUAUGUAGAAUGGGGAUUACCACACAUUUUAUGUAGCAAUGCAAAUGUAUGUGGCAUUUUACAAAAGAAAGUAAGGCAUGUUCCUUGUCUCAAACAGAUUACCCUUCCCCUUAUAUUUAUGACAAGACUGUAAACACCUUUAAAAUCCCUCCUGGCCAGAGGAAAAACCCUUUCAUCUGUAAAGGGUUAAGAAGCUAGGAUAAUCUCACUGGCACAUGACCAA
Chelonia mydas (Green sea turtle) is the source of this 1078-nucleotide long non-coding RNA. RefSeq lists it as uncharacterized. Lineage: Eukaryota; Metazoa; Chordata; Testudines; Cheloniidae. The record is from RefSeq and is a predicted model, not a curated record. The transcript is spliced from 4 exons.